CCUACGGGAGGCAGCAGUGAGGAAUAUUCGUCAAUGGGCGCGAGCCUGAACCAGCCAAGUAGCGUGAAGGAUGACUGCCCUACGGGUUGUAAACUUCUUUUAUAAAGGAAUAAAGUGAGGCACGUGUGCCUUUUUGUAUGUACUUUAUGAAUAAGGAUCGGCUAACUCCGUGCCAGCAGCCGCGGUAAUACGGUGGGUACGAGCGUUAUCCGGAUUUAUUGGGUUUAAAGAGAGAGUAGAUGGGUUGUUAAAUAAGUUGUGAAAGGUUGCGGGUCAACCGUAAGAUUGGAAUUGAUACUGGCAGUAUUGAGGACAGUUGAGGUAGGAGGAAUUCGUGGUGUAGCGGUGAAAU
Molecule: ribosomal RNA, 352 nt
Filed under: uncultured bacterium
Lineage: Bacteria
Description: partial 16S ribosomal RNA
Rfam family: Bacterial small subunit ribosomal RNA
Source: RNAcentral